RNAcentral lists this ribosomal RNA (465 nucleotides) under uncultured bacterium. Its description in RNAcentral is "bacterial SSU rRNA". It matches the Rfam family "Bacterial small subunit ribosomal RNA", at positions 57 to 518 of the family's 1533-position model. The record is from RNAcentral.
GCAAGUCGAACGGAAACUAAGCGGCUUCGGAGACUUCGGUCAAUGUUGCUUGGUUUAGUGGCGGACGGGUGAGUAACGCGUGGAUAACCUGCCUCAUACAGGGGGGAUAACAGUUAGAAAUGACUGCUAAUACCGCAUAAGCGCACAGUUUCGCAUGGAACAGUGUGAAAAACUCCGGUGGUAUGAGAUGGAUCCGCGUCUGAUUAGCUAGUUGGCGGGGUAACAGCCCACCAAGGCGACGAUCAGUAGCCGGCCUGAGACGGGUGAACGGCCACAUUGGGACUGAGACACGGCCCAAACUCCUACGGGAGGCAGCAGUGGGGGAUAUUGCACAAUGGGGGAAACCCUGAUGCAGCCGACGCCGCGUGAGUGAAGAAGUAUUUCGGUAUGUAAAGCUCUAUCAGCAGGGAAGAUAAUGACGGUACCUGACUAAGAAGCACCGGCUAAAUACGUGCCAGCAGCCGC